This 377-nucleotide unclassified non-coding RNA is filed under the name uncultured Gammaproteobacteria bacterium. RNAcentral describes it as "contains 16S-23S intergenic spacer region". The record is from RNAcentral. Lineage: Bacteria; Pseudomonadati; Pseudomonadota; Gammaproteobacteria.
UCCGGCUUAUCACCGGCAGUCCCUCUAGAGUGCCCAACUGAAUGAUGGCAACUAAAGGCGAGGGUUGCGCUCGUUACGGGACUUAACCCAACAUCUCACGACACGAGCUGACGACAGCCAUGCAGCACCUGUCUCAGAGUUCCCGAAGGCACCAAUCCAUCUCUGGAAAGUUCUCUGGAUGUCAAGACCUGGUAAGGUUCUUCGCGUUGCGUCGAAUUAAACCACAUGCUCCACCGCUUGUGCGGGCCCCCGUCAAUUCAUUUGAGUUUUAAUCUUGCGACCGUACUCCCCAGGCGGUCAACUUAGCGCGUUAGCUACGUCACUAAAGGGUCUAAGCCCCCCAACGACUAGUUGACAUCGUUUACAGCGUGGACUAC